Molecule: ribosomal RNA, 808 nt
Filed under: uncultured Pseudomonadota bacterium
Lineage: Bacteria; Pseudomonadati; Pseudomonadota
Description: bacterial SSU rRNA
Rfam family: Bacterial small subunit ribosomal RNA
Source: RNAcentral
GUCGAACGCGAAAGUCCCGCAAGGGAUAAGUAGAGUGGCAAACGGGUGAGUAACACGUGGGUGACCUGCCUUCGAGUGGGGGAUAACGUUCCGAAAGGGACGCUAAUACCGCAUGACAUCCUGCCUUUGAAUAGGCGGAAAUUAAAGCCGGGGAUCGCAAGACCUGGCGCUUGAAGAGGGGCCCGCGUCCGAUUAGCUAGUUGGUGGGGUAACGGCUCACCAAGGCAACGAUCGGUAGCCGGCCUGAGAGGGCGGACGGCCACACUGGGACUGAGACACGGCCCAGACUCCUACGGGAGGCAGCAGUAGGGAAUUGUUCGCAAUGGGCGCAAGCCUGACGACGCAACGCCGCGUGGAGGAUGAAGAUCUUCGGGUCGUAAACUCCUUUCGAUCGAGACGAAUGGCCCUGAGGUAAAUAGCCUCGGGGAAUGACGGUACCGAGAGAAGAAGCCCCGGCUAACUCCGUGCCAGCAGCCGCGGUAAUACGGGGGGGGCAAGCGUUGUUCGGAAUUACUGGGCGUAAAGGGCUCGUAGGCGGCCAACUAAGUCAGACGUGAAAUCCCUCGGCUUAACCGGGGAACUGCGUCUGAUACUGGAUGGCUGGAGUUUGGGAGAGGGAUGCGGAAUUCCAGGUGUAGCGGUGAAAUGCGUAGAUAUCUGGAGGAACACCGGUUGGCGAAGGGGCAUCCUGGACCAACACUGACGCUUAGGAGCGAAAGCCAGGGGAGCAAACGGGAUUAGAUACCCCGGUAGUCCUGGCCCUAAACGAUGAAUGCUUGGUGUGACGGGUAUCGAUUCCCUGUCGUGC